AGUAAACAGUUAUGAUCUUGAAAUUUAAAGAAUUUGGCGGUAAUUAAGUCUAGUUAGAGGAAUCUGUGUAGUAAUCGAUAAUCCACGAAUAUCUUACUUUAUGUAGUAAUAAUACAGUAUGUAUACCGCCAUUAUUAGAUAAACCUUACAAGGAGUUAUUAAAAUUAGUUUUUUUAAACAUAUUAGGUCAAGGUGCAGUUAAUAAUAAAGUUGUCAUGGAUUACAUUAAUAAUUAAUUAUAUGGAUAAAGUUCUGAAAUAGUUUUUUGAAGGUGGAUUUAAGAGUAAUGUGAAAAAAUUAAUUUCGUGUGAUUAAAGCUCUUAAUUAUGUACACA
This 335-nucleotide ribosomal RNA is filed under the name Metabetaeus lohena. RNAcentral's name for it is "partial small subunit ribosomal RNA". Lineage: Eukaryota; Metazoa; Arthropoda; Malacostraca; Decapoda; Alpheidae. The record is from RNAcentral.